AUAGGUAAAAGGGAAUGGCAGAUAUUCAAGCUUAGGGAGCAAGCAGCAAGGACAGAGCCUUCCCCGUCUCUGUGUGUUGAAGUCAGCAGAUAGCACACCUGCUGCUGCGUGAGUUCCUUCUGCCAAGCAGAGCAGCACAGCUGCAAGACACCCUGCUUCUGGCUCUGAGCUUUGCUUGUCUUCAGGGAUGGAGCCCCUCCCAAGGCAAGUUCAACUGGGUUCUUUGGCAGCCGAAGUCUACACGGACCCUGCAGGGAGCGGUGGAGAAAAGUUAGAUGUCUGAAGUGUUUUUCAUUGGACCAAAAUCAAGGUGUUGGCUGGGCUACCUUCCCUUCUGGAGACUCUAAGGAAGAAUCCAUUUCCUUGUCUUUUCCAGAUCCUAGAGGCUACCUGCAUUCCUUGGCUUUUAUCCCCAAUCUUCCAUCUUCGGAGCCAGCAACAAUAUAUUGAUCAUGAGGAGAGGGCUCACCCCUCACCCGGAGAAGUAGUUGGGGAAGCAAUAUGCGGAAACAAAGCCAUGAAUCUGACAAGAAAUGUACUUAAGAUUGUAUAUAUGGAGAUGAAUACCCAUUGUCCUUUGCACUUUCUGGAUGAUAAAUUAGAAAAGAAAAAUCCAAAGAAUGAAGUUGUGCUAUUUGUCCUCACUUCUGAUUUGGGAAACUAGAGGAAAUUAAGAUGGGAAAAGACCAUGUGAGGACACAGUGAGAAGGAGACCAUAUGCAAAGCAGGAAGGAAGAUCUCACUGGAACCAAAAACCAGCCCUGCUGGCACCCUGAUCUUGGACUUCUAGCCUUUCUCAGAACUGUGAGAAAAUAAAUUUCUGAUGUUUCAGCCACUCA
This 839-nucleotide long non-coding RNA is filed under the name Homo sapiens (human). RNAcentral's name for it is "HSALNT0391295". The record is from RNAcentral. Lineage: Eukaryota; Metazoa; Chordata; Mammalia; Primates; Hominidae.